This 443-nucleotide ribosomal RNA is filed under the name uncultured bacterium. RNAcentral's name for it is "partial 16S ribosomal RNA". It matches the Rfam family "Bacterial small subunit ribosomal RNA", at positions 338 to 795 of the family's 1533-position model. The record is from RNAcentral.
CCUACGUGAGGCUGCAGUGGGGAAUAUUGGGCAAUGGAGGCAACUCUGACCCAGCAACGCCGCGUGAGUGAUGAAGGUCUUCGGAUUGUAAAACUCUUUAAGUGGGGACGAAGAAAGUGACUGUACCCACAGAAUAAGCCUCGGCUAACUACGUGCCAGCAGCCGCGGUAAUACGUAGGAGGCAAGCGUUAUCCGGCUUUACUGGGUGUAAAGGGAGCGUAGACGGCAGCACAAGUCUGGAGUGAAAUCCCGGGGCUUAACCCCGGAACUGCUUUGGAAACUGUGCGGCUGGAGUGCAGGAGGGGUAAGCGGAAGUCCUAGUGUAGCGGUGAAAUGCGUAGAUGUUAGGAGGAACACCGGUGGCGAAGGCGGCUUACUGGACUGUAACUGACGUUGAGGCUCGAAAGCGUGGGGAGCAAACAGGAUUAGAUACCCCAGUAGUC